RNAcentral lists this ribosomal RNA (485 nucleotides) under uncultured bacterium. RNAcentral's name for it is "bacterial SSU rRNA". It matches the Rfam family "Bacterial small subunit ribosomal RNA", at positions 28 to 508 of the family's 1533-position model. The record is from RNAcentral.
GAUGAACGCUAGCGACAGGCCUAACACAUGCAAGUCGAGGGGCAGCACAAGGAGCAAUCUGAGGUGGCGACCGGCGCACGGGUGAGUAACACGUAUGCAACCUGCCUGUAAGCGGGGAAUAACCCGUUGAAAGACGGACUAAUACCGCAUAAAACUGGGAAUCUGCAUGGAUAUUCAGUUAAACAUUUAUGGCUUACAGAUGGGCAUGCGCAUGAUUAGAUAGUUGGAGAGGUAACGGCUCCCCAAGUCAACGAUCAUUAGGGGUUCUGAGAGGAAGGUCCCCCACACUGGUACUGAGACACGGACCAGACUCCUACGGGAGGCAGCAGUGAGGAAUAUUGGUCAAUGGGCGAGAGCCUGAACCAGCCCAAGUCGCGUGCAGGAAGAAUGUCCUAUGGAUUGUAAACUGCUUUUGCAGGGGAUAAAGUGCGGCACGUGUGCCGUUUUGUAUGUACUCUGCGAAUAAGGAUCGGCUAACGUCGUCG